This 13606-nucleotide long non-coding RNA is filed under the name Musa acuminata (dwarf banana). RNAcentral describes it as "long non-coding RNA (MACU_LNC004398)". Lineage: Eukaryota; Viridiplantae; Streptophyta; Magnoliopsida; Zingiberales; Musaceae. The record is from RNAcentral.
CCUGAUUAGAAGCUGCAGUAUAUAUCUUCUCCUCAAACCGAAUAGCAAUUUUCUGAAGUUCAUUUAUGCCCUCGGGCACAGAGAUAGGCAGGUGCCUCUUCAAAGUUUCCAUUCUACAUAUAGAGAACAUUGAACUCUUACAAAGUGAAAAUUAUGAACAGAAUAAAUUUUGAGAACCAGGAGAAAGACAAAUGAAUGAGAACCACUAACUGAUCAACAGAAUUUUUUCCAAAAUUGCACAUGCUAUAGUGUGAACAAAUAGUGUAUGAAACUCUAAUAAAGCGAGUGGAAAAAAGAGUAAAAAUAUGAAACAAGACUUCUUAAGACUUUUUCUUUUAAAUCAAUGCCAGUACCAGUACAUACCUUCCGCUUUGUACUAGUCCAGUACAAAUCCAUACAAAAACAAAGAAAACAAAAACACCAAUUAGGGCCCACAAGUGUGAGCCCUCUUCUCGUAAGCCACAUGGAACCAAUGCUGUCAUUGUUGUUCACUGUCACCAGUCCCUAGUACGCUCCCCCCUCUUCUCCUCCUCUUCCUCCAUGACCACCCCUUCAUCCUUCCUCCUCCUUCCUCCAGCGCAUCCUCUUCUUCCUCCUCUACUGUUGCUUCCUCUUCCCCUUCUUCUUCGUCUUCGAAACACUGAUCGAUACCAAUGCACCAUGUGUCGGUAUCACAUGAUAAGCUAGUAUUCACCGGUACAUACCGGUCCGACCAACAACCCAUAUGGGUCCGGUACACGAUAUGGCAUUCCUUGGCCAACACUAACUAAAACUGGCAUGUGAUGGAAAACCGAGAGCAAAAGAAUUAUCGAUUAUAUCAACCAAGAAAAGGUAUAUGAUAGGGACUCCAGUGUAACUAGCAUAGUGACUAAUGACUAACAAAAAGCCAUGAGUAUACAUUAUAUGUCAGUAUAGCCAUGACUAUACAUUAUAUAUCAGUAUCUGAUCCACAAAAUGCAUGAUGGAUCACUUUUCAGUGUCAAAUAAAAGUUUUAAACAAUUAUGUUCUUUUUUUUACAAUAGACUUACUCGAUAUAUUUGAACUCACGAGUUCAGAUUACCUUCCCAAGCAUGUUCCAAUGAUGUUCCAACAAUGUAUAUUAUUUUGCUAAUUUAUUUUAUUUUAGUAAAAGCAGAAUCAGCCUAAGUUCCAAGUUAGAAGUUAGUAACUACAGAAAAAAAAAUUUCUGUAGUAUCAUGAAAUAUAGAGCUAAAGAUAUGGGAAAAGAAUGAUGAAGCCAUUAGUAACGUUAAACAUAGAGCUAAAGAUACAAAAAAUACAAAGAUAAGUUUACAGGAAACAAAUAUGUACAUUGUUUACACUUUGAAUUUAUUUACCAAAAAGGAAAGCUUGAAGAUGUCUCUUAUAUAGAAAGAGCGGGAUAGUCAAAUUGCAGACAUCUCUGGUAUAGUGCACCCAUCAAGUGCAAAUCUAAUUAACAGAUACAAACUUCAAAAUUUAGCCUCAAGAUAACUCAUGUUCACCGUACUGUUGGACAAUUAGGCAUAGUUUGUGUUAUUGUGGUAUUACUAGAUUCUCAUACGAUACAUCUGAUCCAUAUCCAAAUCAUCCUAGGCAAAUUCGAUUUUGAUUGAAUUCUUUGUUAUAUGGCUGCAUUAAGUAACUCUUUACCGCCCACACCAUUAUGGUACUGGUGGUAUUUACCAGUCCAACUGGUAGCCAAGCCUCAUACCACUCUUUACCAACAGAUUCAAGACCAGUUGAAGGGGUUAUCACCAUAACCCCCUUGUACAGGACUUACCACUAAAUACAGAUCCAUUACCAGGCGAUAAACCCACCCAGAUAUGAUGUGCCCCAACGAAACCCAUUGGGGGGGUCUCGUUGGGCACUUUAAAAUCACCCACCCACCCCAACCAGCCCACCCCCCAAAUGCCAAAUCUCUCAAAACUUCAUUGAAGAUCACUAAGGGAGGUUGAUUUGUAACAUAGGAAGAUUGAAAUCUCAAGAUCUGGUCUGAUUUCUUUCCAAAUUAAGAUAAAUCUGAACCUAAUCAGUAAGAUACUUUCAUGCAAUUAGGUUGGGGCUUAUGUUUAUUCUUCCUUUCUUAGCUUGGAUCUCUUCCAUUUAGAAAAGCAAUUACAACGUAGUUCAACUUUCAUACGAUCCUAGCACAUACAACCAAAGGUCCAUGAUACCGAAGCAUGUUGUCCUCCCAACCCAAGAGAGAUACGUGACACAUCUAGAUGAGGAUUUCAAAGAGCUUAGAGACUGGAAUAAAUUAUUCAAAAAACAAAGAGGCCUGACCUUUAUGGUGUCACAAUGAUGUCAGGGCCAGCAAAAAUGAGCAUCAUCAACUUCCUUGCUUAUUUCAACAAGAUAGUUUUUCUUAAGUCACUUGAUGCAUCUGACAAGAUCUAUUAAGCGAAUGAUAAAGCGGCAAAUUUCAAGGGGGCCAAUCAUCAACGUAGGUUGAUACGGAGACCGAAUUCUUCCUAUUUGCUAUCACACACCAUAAAUGCUACCUAAAACAGUAUGCUUCCAAAAAAUGAUAUUUUCUUUUCUUAAAGAUCUACGGAUGGAUAGUUAAUUGGCUGGACAAAAAACCUGAGUGGUACCUGUUUCUCAAAUUGGCUAUUUCUCCAUCUCCAGAGAUGAAUAGAUCCUUCACGAUGUAAAGUACUCGUUGAUUUGGAACCAUGCCUUAUGUUAUCUUUCAAUUCUCUCCCAAAAAUAUUUACCCAAUCCAUCCCCCUUCCCCAAUAAAAGCAUGAGCCUCUAUGGAAAUCUGUAUCGGCCACAUAGACAGUGAAAGAUGUAUAGGAAUCUUAACUGUAUCCCAUUUGAAAAUCCAAAGAUAUCAGAGAUCAAACUUUCUCCCCCCUCAACAGACUCAACGACCUCUGCUUACUACACGCAAUAAGAAAGAUCCCAUUUUGAACUUUCCCGCACAGCUCCCUCUUAGUUCCAAUCAUACAAUCCACCAACAGUUUACUAAUAUGAUAUCAUGUAAAAUUUCCUGGUCGGAUACAAAACCAAUUUUUUGAGUAUUCCUCAGUCACAGCCUAUGAUACAAGAAAUGAAAUCGAGACCAGAACCCUGAGAGAUCAACCCUUUGGACAUGUCAUAAGCACGCGUAUUUGCAUAGGUGGUACGAUGUGAUCGAUUAAUGAAUAUCAAAAUUUGAAACGAAGUUUAAGUGGAUAGAGAGGUGACUAAAAGAAAAUUUGACUCGUUUCUCAAGGAAACGACGAGUUCAUUAUCGAAAGAAAAAGACCGCCGUGCAAAUUACACGAACAAAAACCCUAACAAGAUAAUAACAACAACAAUAAUAUUUUUUUCUCAAGUGCUUUAGAUUUUUCACAUCCGAACCACAGAAGGACCUUAAUCUCACCCAAAAGGCUGCUAUAAAUUCAAAAAUAUCGACCAAAAUCGAGCGAUGAUAGACGCCUUCACAUCAGGAAAACCAAGAAAACUUUGAGGAAGAGGAAAUAGUCCACUUACAUCUUAUUUACAAUCCUGUGCCGCGCCUCCGGCUGGAGUUGGGUCCUCCAGUCGCCGGAUCCCCCAUCCGAGGCGGCGGCGCUCUCCCCCUGAGCCGGCCUCCAACUAUUCCCCUCCAUCGGAAGGAUCUAAAGCACGCACCCCUCAAAUUGAGAUCUCAGAGCCGGGGAAAUCAAAGGAGAUGGGAAUCCGCGGGGAAAUCGAUUCGGCAACAACGAAAAAGUGGGUUGCCGAGGACGAGCGAGAAACGUGCGAAGAGCCGAGAGAGAGAGGGGGGGCGUUGAAAGAAAGCUUUGGGGGAAGGGAGGAAUCGUGCGGUGGGGGAUUCCCUUCAAACAUCGAACACAGCAGCCGAGAAGAAAACUACUCCCUCCCACCAAUACCAGUAGUCCGAUGCUGACGAAUGAGCAAAUUAUUUAUGGGACAUGCACUCCAUGUUUCUUCACCCCAUCGACAAGUUCCAAUCGCCGCUAGAAUAAUGGCACACUUGUUUCAGAUAUAUACCCAGCGAAUCUGCGCUCAGCACCUUUUUGAGGCCGCCUGCUUCUUAAUUUGCCCCCUUCUAAAAGAAAACCUGGUCGCCACUUUGCAAUGGGUCGGUCCUCCAAAAUAAUACUCAACAAUCAAUCACCUAUAGGUUUGAGAAUUACCAAUGUAGUUUAAUGAUAGACAUAGGUGAUUUUUUAAAGAAUAAAUAAUAAAUAUAAUAUUCGAGUUAAGAUCCUAUGAUAAAUUGUCAUAAUUUUUACUAAUUAAAUUAGCUGACAUUUUUAGUUUCAGAUAUAAAAGAAUUUAUAUUAGUGAAUUUUUAAGAUCUCAUUUAUCGGGGUUGAGGUGUCAUUUUCUUAUGACGAUGGAUGAGUGUUACGGAGACAUAUAGAUGAUAUCUUUUAAAAAGAUAUAAUAAUUAAUAUAAAUGAGGUGAGAAGAUAUAGAGAAAAAAAUAUAUAUAUUUAAAAAAAUUAACUUAAAAAUAUUUUACAUAGAGUUAGAUAUUUAAAUAUUUAUAUAUAAGAAAUUUAAAUAUUAUUACAAAUAGAUAAUUUCCCUAAAAAGAUCUCCAUUUUAGCUUUAUGAAAAGAUAUCCCAAUUUUUUUUUUAUUUAAUAUUUUUUCAUCUAAUAUCCCAAUAUUUUUUCAUCGUGAGGCUUCAUCAUUUUUGUGUGAUUGAAUAUAAUAAGAAGAAAAAAUAAGAUAAGACGUAGAAGACUAUGUUGAGAGAGCAUGUCAAAACGAUCAUAUGGAGGCGAUCGAUCUUAGGCGAUCAUGUAGAGGCAGUGGGCAACAAUGAAGAGCAUUUAGGGCAUCAAAGGAAAAAAAAGAUAUUAAAUAAAAAAAUAAAAAAAUUGGGGGACACCUUUCGAAAAAAAAUCAAAAAGAUCGAUUUUUUCAGAAAUCAUACUAUUACAAUUAUCAUAAAUAUAAAAAUAAUAAUAAGUAUUCAAAAAAUAAUAAAUAAAAAACAUUUAUUAUAAGCAAUAAUAAGUUAAAUUUUCAUUCCUUUAUUGUCAUUAAUGUGAUAAUUUAUGUAUUUAUAAAAAAGUUAUCGAUGUUUGUUUCUUGAUCUAUGCUCUUUUUUUAUACUGAUUUUAUCUUGGAAACAAUUUAAUACAUCUUUCAACCGAUUGGAGUAAUUUUUUUGAAUUUUUUAAAUUAUAAAUCUUACUUUAUCCCCCAACAAAAAAAAAGAAUUGUAAAUGGUGCAGACACUAAGAGCAAAUCAUUGUAUAGAAAUCGAAAAGUAGUGUGAAAAAUCCUUUUUUUAUAAAUUAUCUAUGCUAUUCAAAAGGAAUAAAAAUGAUAAAAGAUAUGUAACAUGACGAACAUCAUACGUUGGAUAAAUUAAGAUCAAAAUUCAAAAUUCAAAAGAUAAAAAAUUCAAAUAUAAGAAAAUAAAAAUAAACUAAAGAUAAAUUAAGAUAAAAGGGAAUAAACGAACAUUAAAGUUUUAAAUGGAAGCAAAUAAAAAAGACUAAAAAAAUAAAAAGUCAAUCAUGACAAAUAAAAUAAAAUAAGAAAAAGAAUAUAGUAUUUUUUAAUCUAUGAUAAGAAAUAAUUAAGUUUGGUAAUCAGUAUAUAUUAUUUUUUACAUAUUAAAAUCUUAACUAAAAUAAAUCUAUAUAACAAUACAGGUCUUGAUUUAAGCUCUUUUAAAUGUAUACAAAUAUUUUUCAUCGACGUUCAAUAAACAAAAAUUAAUUUGAUCGAUGAAAGAAUCCGAUUGGACAUAUCCGAUAUAGUCUUUUAUUGAAACGAAAUAAGGGUUAUUAAAUACAAGAAUUUCAAUUUUAGGUACAGAGAGAUUCUCUAUCGAUUGCAUUCUCCAUCUACUUAAGAACCCUCUCCAAGCACUAUAAAACUGAAAGAACAAAUCAAGUCGAAUCGAUUACACGGCACUCAAUUGAUGAUCAAAAUUGAAUACACCAAAUCUUAAUUCCAAACUCUUGAAACAUCACAGUUUAAACAUCAUGGGAAAGGGCACUCCUGAACAUCACCUGCCAACAAAGAUUGUCAUGACUACCAUAUUCCCAAAGGAAAAGCUAAACUGAUGAUCAAUGGAUGGACAGUUCGAACCAUCCGAUAAACAAUUAAAGAAAUUAGUAAUGUCUGUUCGAUGACGAACAAUACGGAUCCAUUAGGUUGUUAUUUUCAACCACUCAGCACAAUAAAAUGGUGAUUGUUCAACAAUUAAAAAGGACAACAGUCAGUUAUUUUUAUUAUGAUACGAUCCAUAGAAGAGAAACUAAGCUUAGUAACUUCGCCUACGUGCCCCCAAGUUUUGGGUGGUUUCCUACUGAUUGCGGCUCGAGCACCAGAGAGCAGCACCGAAACAACACCAUCUUAUCCCACAAGCAAAUAUUCUUAUAAAUACAUGAAAAAAUACUGGCCAACAUGGUCAGCAUUUAUAAUUAGAGAGCAAAUUUUGAUGCAGAGCAAUAUCAGAAUCCUGUCAAAAAAAAUUCCGGAUAGAAAUUUCGGCAACUCUGUCACAAGAAGAUACACUGCAACUAAUCAUAAGAGGAAUACAGAAUGGACUAUUUGACAAGUCUGUCCACUUUUAGUUAUCACAAUAAUGUAGCAUAUCAGUCUAAUGCUGUACUUCACUACGUUUAUAUUCAAUUGCAAUUUCCAAACAAGUUUAAAAAGGUGUAAAUAAGUAAUUGAUUUACAAACAUUUAUCGAGUUUACACCAGAAACAUGAAGCGAUUACUCUUAUAUCCCGUUGCCAGUUGCUUCUUGAUCCAAGGCUCCACCUCAAGUUAAAAGCUUCGUAGCAGAUACUUCUCAGUGGCAAUCCUAGUGUCUUAGCAAUCUUACAAAUAUGUGAAAAACAAGUUAGUGCAGCACUUGAAAACUACAAGAUCAUGGAUGAUAAAUGGAAAUAAGUCAAAAUUAGAUUGGAAGGAAACAAAAAUCUCUAAUGGAUUGUGAAUCUUUGCUCUCAGUUGGUUAUGAUUAUGCCGAGAAAACAUUGGUUGCAUAUAACUUUUCAGGUGACAACCAGGUUUCUUUAAUUAUGUGGAGACAUGCUGAAAAUUCACAACAUUUGAAUACCAGGUCAAACGAAUUCAAAGAGAAAACACUCGGUUGCUGACGGGUCAUAUGUUGUUAAAAGUUAAAACAGUACUACCCAUAAAGGCCCAAAUGCAAAAAAUCCAAAUACUAAAACACCUAAUGCUAGAACAAAGAAACAAGUGCAUCUAGCUAAAUUAAAUGCAGAGGAAAGAUUGGCAGGAUUUUGUGCCAUGGCCAAAGUGUUGUUCUGAAUAUUCUGGGACAAAAUUUGUUGCCUUGCUGAAGGUUGAUUCACCAUAGAGACAGAUAAUGGUUGCCCUUGGUUGGCUUGUGAUUGUACACCAAGCAAUGCUAUCAAGGAAGCAUAUUUGGUCAGUCCCAAGAAGUUUGAACCCUCGAAAAAUGAAUUUCAUGUUUACAAGUUCCAAGCCUCCAACCACAGCUUUUACUUUAACAAACCUUGGAUUAAUAUGCUUUCUUCAACUUCUUAUAGGGAUGGCUCUGGGAAAAAAAUCUCAGUCACAUUAACAAACAUUUACUUGCAGCAACACAAAUGGUGCCCAACCACGACCUACUACAUGACACCAUGAUGCCCCGAUGCCAAUCAUAUGUGAGUCACAUGCCCAUGUGGCCAUGACACUUGAUGCAGGCCACAUCUAGUGAAUAUUCCCCACAGUAACAUAUGCUGGUUGGGCAAUGAGGUUUGUGGUUUCUAUUAGUUGUCCUCAUUCCUCAUGAAUAUUUAUAUAGACGGUGUAGCUUCAACUAGGUUGCAAGUCCUUGUUGAGCUAUCUCAUAUGUGCUUCUACACAUGUUGAGACAAGGAAUAAGGAUUGCCACUUUGUGGCAUGGGAGUCUCCUAUGUCUUUCUAGCAUUGCUAGAUUGCAUGUCAUGUCAGUCCACACCUUUCUAUCAGCUGGCACAGCCAAAAAGAUAGCUUAGCAAUAGUUCAACACCUUCAGCAUAGUUCGGCAUGGUGUGUGCCUACACCUUUCUUAUGUGGUAAAUUUUGAAGACAAAAUGUAAAAAUCAUUCCAAUACAUUUACCUUUUCUGGAAAAUAAGCAGAAACAAUCCCAUGUUUAAUGAAGGAUUUUCGUAUCUCUAAUGGUUUAUCAACACUGAAAUGUUCAAGUACCUAACCCUUAUAUGAACACCACUCAUCUUAUUAUUAUCAGGUGACUUAAGCCAGUAACCAAAAUGCUAAAUGAGCAUCAAUACUAUUGGGAAACCUUGGGGAGUAUUACAUGUGCAGUGGAAAGUGAAAACAAAAACUGAUUUCCCAAAGCAAUCUUAUCGAAUCGUGGUGCGAUGAUCGGAAGCGAAAAACUCGAAAGCGAUAAAACAACGUAAGGGGUGUGAGACGUUCUCACCUAGGUGAAACCAUAUAUCCCCUAAUAUGUAGAUCUCGGUCCGUGGAUGAAGGAGCUCUCGUAAACUCCUCUCUAGCGGUGAUCCACACAGCGGAUGCGGCAACGAUGCACCUUCUGGUGCAGCACGUUCUUUCCUCAUGUUCGCGCACCACCAUGCCGCAACAACCAAGGAGGGGUCGAUCCCUCUUGCUAUCCUCUCGCACCACACCAGAGAGGGACAGUCGACUGGAGGAAGAAGCAGGGAGGAGAUGAAAGAGGUCGCGACAAUAGGGGUCUAGCUUAUAAUCCCUUUAAGCCUCAACUCCUAUAUAUUGAGAACCCUAUUUACUUACCAUAAUGGAUCCUGCCUUAAUGGGUACUGAAUCUCCAUUCAAUUAUCUUGACUUAAUGGAUAUUGGAUCCCUAUCCAAUAACCACUCUAAACCCUAUUGGGUCUAACCAAAUGGAUACAAGAAAAUAGGGAAUUAUUAGAUAUCUCAUAUUCAAUCCUCUACUCGUGCGUUCUCCACCAUAUGUGUAUGAUCCUCUAGGCCCAAUAUUAAGCUGGCCGUGAGUUGCACUUGUCAAAACUCCAUUUGACUCAGUGAAUUAUUAUCUCAAUAAUAAUUCAUCGACCAUUAUCGUAUUAAGCCACUAUGCCAUAGUCCCCAGACGUUAUAGAGGGAUCUAAUCUAUUGGACCUGUCUACCCUCAGUUACCGUGUAUCUAUAGUCUCUCAUUUAUCUAACGUCCCUGAGAUCGUAUAUAGAGCAUUGUGCUAUCAGGGCCAUACGAAAUUUAUCCGAGUCUUACUAUAAUUAGAUUCUCCCGGAGAACUCGUCUUUGAAUCCGAAUCUCGCGCUUAUCGGAUUUAUCACGAUCCGAUCGACCCUGGUUAGGGAUUUGCAUAAGUAAGAGCACACAUGAUAUUCCUCUUAUGAUACCGAGAGUGGAUGAUCUUCUAUUGACACUCAAUUGUCUUCAUAAGAUUGACUACAAUUCCCAAUGACCGAAUGUGCUAGAUUUGGAACUUCUAGACCUAUAAGUCUGGUAUUAAAGAAUGAAGUACUCAAACAAGGCAUCCUUGGUGUCUCAAGUCUAAGAACCAGAUUCACAAUCGGAACUACGGAAUCACUAUUUGAUGAUAAAGUAUUAUUAAGCAACCAGCAUUCCGUAAGCGGAUCAUUCAAUAAACUUAUUCUCCAAUGAGCAUCUGUACAGUAUCCCCACACAAGCAGCUAUGAGAUCAGUUGCCUCCAUCAUAUGAACAGGUAUAUAGCACACUGAUCAAUCCGAUUAUCUUGAUGACCCUCUCAAGUAACCUACAACCGAGAAUAUUUAGGGUUUGUAUCUAAUGACGAAUUAGUCACAUUAUCAUAAUCUAAUCAUGAUCCAAUUCUAAUUGCACAGAUCGAAGGACAUCACAAUAUAUUCAUCAUAAAUAUAAAAUAAAAAAAAUAUUAUAAAAAUAAUAACAAAAAAGAUUAUGUAGCGUGUCACAUGUGUCAUCACUUACGUGAUUGACUUGCAGGGCACCUGUAACUAGCAAACACUAGGUAGGUGGUAUCUAUUAUAGUUUCAAACUCACAUACUGGAAUUGAAACAUGGUUUAAUUGAUCAAUGUGCACUAUGUCAAUAGGAUAUAGUCACAGUCCCACACCUAUACUAUUGCAACAAACAAUCUGUAGGUACCAAAUAUAUGUGUAAAUUCUUUCAUCCAAAAUAAAAUAUUUCUUAAAUAAACCUUUCAAAAAUAUAUUUUGAAAAUAGCUCUUUUUAUAAUAUUCAUAAAAGAAACAUCAUUUUUUAUGACUUAGGGAAGCCUAAAAUUAAUGUUGUAAAUAGCAUAUUUUGUUUUGUGAGAAAUGAUAUUGUGACAAGUAGUUUUACUAAAAUCACUUUGCAAUAGCAAUUUCACACGUUAGAUUGGAACUAUUAUCAGAGUUAUCAUUUCUUUUGCACAAAAAAUGGCAUUAUGAUUAGAGCUAUGACACAUGUAAGACUGCUUUGACAUCCUCUAAGAAAUAUUUUUUAAAAUGGUGUUAUCAAGGGAAAAGCUUCCCAGAGUAAUUCCAAAUUCACAAGUUCAAUGAACCUAUAUCUCCCAUUUGAAGCUUAAAUUCUUGAACCUUGUUUCGUAAUACAAAAUAACAAAAAGAUUUCACAGACUUUGUACAUGAUUGUAAUUCAUUAUGCACAUCAAUAUUUACUCAUAAAUAAAAAUACAUUGAUUUUAUGGAGAACAUAAACAUUAACAAAUUUUGACCGAGCAGACUUAUUUUCAAGUAAGGGUUGUAGUUGCAUGAAGCCUCAUCUAGUUUAAAUGCCAAACCUCACCAUUAAGUAAUAUUGAGAUGCACAUCCAAAACUUAACUACCACCAACAAGUUUUCAAUUGAAUGAUUAUAACUGCGUGUAGGGACUGCAGAAUAUAUAACGUGAAAGAAGCAUAUCCCCCACAGACAUUGUCAACUAAUUAUAAUCAUUUAAAUGAACAUUUUAAUUAUGGAAUGGAAAAGUCAUUUGGGUAAGCACGAUAAUGUCUUAGCUGAUUAGCUAGCAUUUCCAAUCUAAAAGAUGUAACAAAAUAAUUUUGCCUUGUAAUAUUUCUGAGAGGAAUCGUAUCAUUCUUUUUACUAUUGCUUAUCACCGUAAGCCAUCAAUCAAAUUUAAGUGUACAAGUUAUUUGAUCCAGCUAGAAUCUAAUACGUCUUCCCUGUGUCAUACUUCACAAUUAUCCGCAAAUCACCAAUUUACCACAUUCCUAGAGUAUCUACUACUCAAAAACAAUAGUCUGUGGCAAGGUUCGUCGUACCACAACGUACCGUGUGUUGGUAUGGGCGGUAUAUACCGGUUCGACAAGGGACCGAUAUGAGUGGGACAUUCGUAUGGUCACAUGUACCGUAUGUUGGUAUGCUCAAUAUAGCUUGAUACAACUCAGUACAUAUCAUAUUGACAGUUUGUUGGUACACCAGUAUGGACUAGUAAAACGAACCUUGGUUAGUAGUAAGAGGACAAGAUAAUUAAAAAUAUAUGGUUUUAUUUCUUAGUAUACUGCAUCUUCAAAUCCAAUAUGCACAAAACAUUAAAUUUUUAGCAUAUGACUCUUUCAACUCUCCUGUAAGUCCUUUUGGCCUCAGAAUCAAUAUAAAUUGAUUUAUUUGCCAACACUUAAAGUCCCCUCUCUACAUAGUAAAUAAAUCAGUUUAGGGUGACAGCGUGUGCCAAAUGACUUCGACCAAUUUCUUUUCUGCACAGACUUUUAAGAUCCAGUGAAACAUUUGGUGGAUCACGGGAUUGUUCUUUAUCUAAAAGGCUUCAAAUGUUUAAAACUAACAAAUAAAAAAUAAUAAGGUCCACCUCUCCAGAAAGGCCGUCAUUCGAGAGGAGGCAGCUUCUCAGCCAGUCCAACUUGCCUAGCAAGUUAUAUUAAUAUACAACCAGCUUCAGAUUAUUAUAUACCUCCUCAGUUAUAUUAAUGUAUAAGCAAGGACAAAAAGUAAAUACUCGACCACAACAGCAAUUUAGAACAAUGUAAAAGAAGAUCAAUUUAAACAACUCAAGUUCUAGGUUUUAUAAAGUAUAAUCCAGUCAAAACCAUGACAAACUUAUCAAAUAAUAGCAUAGCUCUUGUCAAAGUAUGAACACUGAAGAACUUACAAAGAGAUGAAAAUCAAGAUACAUGAAAGAUCAAAUACCUAGAUGACAACAAGAUAAAAGAUGGGCACAGGAUGGUGUAUAAAAUCUUCAAUAACGUCAAAGUCUGGCAAAUGUCAUUUAAACACUCGAGAACCACAGAGUACACAGGACAAAAUAAAAAAGAAUCUAUAGAUUCAUUUUAUAUGAAAUAGAAUGAAUAUAAGUAGUAAUAUUAUAAUAUACACAAUACACAAAAGGAAUGAAGUAAACAAAAUUGACUGUGAUAUUUUGAAUAAAAUAUAUCUUAUCCAUAAUUCAGAAUGUCUAAUUUGUACAGAAAAGAAAGCAUUUCAUGGUACCUACCUGGGUCUGCAGAAUUUUGGUUGAGAACUGCGCUGUUGGAUAUUAAAGGGUUAAUUGAAGCAGAAUGCUGAGACUUAUUCUCCAUUGAAAGCAUUUUUAGAGAAAUUUUCCUCAAAUAAUCAAACUGAAAAAUUAGAAAGAAAAAAAUAUUUCAUACAGUGCUUACAGUUCAUACCAAUAAGCAAGAAUAAACAAAUAUAUUUUUUUCGAUUGGAUUCUGAAAGACAUAUAUGGUACAGAUCCAAAUUAGUCAUGCAAAAUGCUCAAGAGUAAUCUCAUCCACAGCCUAUUAACAUGUACUGUUUAUUUAUCAAGCUUAUAGCCAGUAAGCAUCAGGUUUUCUUAAGGAUGAAAUUAUAACAAACAACAAAUUCUGGUACUCGAAUGCAACAAAAGAGCUACUAUGGUGCAGCAAGAGAGUACUACAAAAGGCUAUCUUUUGUGCUUCUUCAUUUUCCAGCAUGUAAGAAGACUAUUCAUAAAAAUAUUAUCAAUAGACGAAAAAGGCAAAUACUAUCAAAACAUUGUCAUCAAACCAAAAUGUAAAUACCACCAAAACAAGCAACGACCACAAGGUUUCAAAACCCAGUCUGGUACUGUUUUUAGCAAAUGGUCAGACUAGCAUAGUACUAAUACACUGGGCAAUAUGCUUAACUGUACAAUCCGGUAGCAUAAAAAAAUUUAAAAAAUUUAAAUGCCAACUAGUAUUGCACCUUAGUUAGACCGAUAAACACCAGUCUAUAUGUACUGGUCCAACCAGCAUUUCAAACAUUGGUUGAGAACGCACCUAACAAUGGCAAAGCAAAGACGAAGAUUAAAGACGAAUUGGUUAAUUUACCCGAUCAGAAGCUGCAGUAUAUAUCUUCUCCUCAAACCGAGUAGCAAUUUUCUGAUGUUCAAUUAAGCCCUCGGGCACAGAGAUAGGCAGAUGCCUCUUCAAAGUUUCCAUUCUACAUAUAGAGAACAUUGUGCUCUUACAAAAUGAAAAUUAUGAACAGAAUAAAUUUUGAGAACCAGGAGAAAUACAAAUGAAUGACAACCACUAACUGAUCUACAGAAUUUUUUCCAAAAUUGCACAUGCUAGAGUGUGAACAAAUAGUGUAUGAAACUCUGAUAAAGUGAGUGGAAAAAAGAGUAAAAAUAUGAAUCAAGACUUCUUACGACUUUUUCUUUUAAAUCAAUGCCAGUACCAGUACAUACCUUCCGCUUUGUACUAGUCCAGUACAAAUCCAUACAAAAACAAAGAAAACAAAAACACCAAUUAGGCCUCACAAG